RNAcentral lists this ribosomal RNA (64 nucleotides) under Maridesulfovibrio gilichinskyi. The record is from RNAcentral. Lineage: Bacteria; Pseudomonadati; Thermodesulfobacteriota; Desulfovibrionia; Desulfovibrionales; Desulfovibrionaceae.
GUUAAGACCUCCAUCGCCGAUGAUACUGCUAGGUAGCUAGUGGGAAAGUAGGUCGUCGCAAGGA